This 301-nucleotide ribosomal RNA is filed under the name uncultured bacterium. RNAcentral describes it as "partial 16S ribosomal RNA". It matches the Rfam family "Bacterial small subunit ribosomal RNA", at positions 509 to 807 of the family's 1533-position model. The record is from RNAcentral.
CAGUAGCCGCGGGAAUACGAAGGGGGCUAGCGUUGCUCGGAAUGACUGGGCGUAAAGGGCGCGUAGGCGGAUGGCACAGUCAGAUGUGAAAUUCCCGGGCUUAACCUGGGGGCUGCAUUUGAUACGUGUUGUCUAGAGUGAGGAAGAGGGUUGUGGAAUUCCCAGUGUAGAGGUGAAAUUCGUAGAUAUUGGGAAGAACACCGGUGGCGAAGGCGGCAACCUGGUCCUUGACUGACGCUGAGGCGCGAAAGCGUGGGGGGCAAACAGGAUUAGAUACCCCUGUAGUCCCUGUCUCUUAUAC